CGAAAAAUGAUUGGUUGUAUCGCU
RNAcentral lists this microRNA (24 nucleotides) under Eugenia uniflora (Surinam cherry). Its description in RNAcentral is "eun-miR10212-5p". The record is from miRBase by way of RNAcentral. Lineage: Eukaryota; Viridiplantae; Streptophyta; Magnoliopsida; Myrtales; Myrtaceae.